AGAGUUUGAUCCUGGCUCAGAUUGAACGCUGGCGGCAUGCCUUACACAUGCAAGUCGAACGGUAACGCGGGGCAACCUGGCGACGAGUGGCGAACGGGUGAGUAACAUAUCGGAACAUACCCUAGAGUGGGGGAUAACGUAGCGAAAGUUACGCUAAUACCGCAUACGAUCUACGGAUGAAAGUGGGGGAUCUUCGGACCUCAUGCUCAUGGAGUGGCCGAUAUCUGAUUAGCUAGUUGGUGGGGUAAAGGCCCACCAAGGCGACGAUCAGUAGCUGGUUUGAGAGAACGACCAGCCACACUGGAACUGAGACACGGUCCAGACUCCUACGGGAGGCAGCAGUGGGGAAUUUUGGACAAUGGGGGCAACCCUGAUCCAGCAAUGCCGCGUGAGUGAAGAAGGCCUUCGGG
Molecule: ribosomal RNA, 410 nt
Filed under: uncultured bacterium
Lineage: Bacteria
Description: bacterial SSU rRNA
Rfam family: Bacterial small subunit ribosomal RNA
Source: RNAcentral